AGGUCACUGCUAUCGGUGUUCGAUUAAGCCAUGCGAGUCGUGAGGGGUAAAGCCCUCGGCGGAGUGCUCAGUAACACGUGGACAACCUACCCAAGAGUCAGGGAUAACCCCGGGAAACUGGGGAUAAUACCUGAUAGGCCAUGACAUCUGGAAUCGAGUUGUGGUUUAAACGUAAGGCUCUUGGAUGGGUCUGCGGCGGAUUAGGUUGUUGCCGGUGUAACGUACCAGCAAGCCUGUAAUCCGUACGGGUUGUGGGAGCAAGAGCCCGGAGAUGGAUUCUGAGACACGAAUCCAGGCCCUACGGGGCGCAGCAGGCGCGAAAACUCUACAAUGCAGGCAACUGCGAUAGGGGAACAUCGAGUGGCAUCCACCAUGGAUGUCUGUCCAAUCGUCUAAAAAACGAUUGUCAGCAAGGGCCGGGCAAGACCGGUGCCAGCCGCCGCGGUAAUACCGGCGGCUCGAGUGGUGGCCGAUAUUAUUGAGUCUAAAGGGUCCGUAGCCGGCUUUGCAAGUCCUAUGGGAAAUCCAGCGGCUUAACCGUUGGGCUUUCAUGGGAUACUACAUUGCUUGGGACUGGGAGAGGUAGGAGGUACUCAGGGGGUAGGGGUGAAAUCCUGUAAUCCUUUGGGGACCACCGGUGGCGAAGGCGUCCUACCAGAACAGGUCCGACGGUGAGGGACGAAAGCUAGGGGCACGAACCGGAUUAGAUACCCGGGUAGUCCUAGCCGUAAACGAUGCUCGCUAGGUGUCACGGCAGUCGUGAAUUGUCGUGGUGCCGUAGGGAAGCCGUGGAGCGAGCCACUUGGGAAGUACGACCGCAAGGUUGAAACUUAA
RNAcentral lists this ribosomal RNA (834 nucleotides) under uncultured soil archaeon. RNAcentral describes it as "bacterial SSU rRNA". It matches the Rfam family "Archaeal small subunit ribosomal RNA", at positions 21 to 859 of the family's 1478-position model. The record is from RNAcentral.